RNAcentral lists this ribosomal RNA (460 nucleotides) under uncultured bacterium. Its description in RNAcentral is "partial 16S ribosomal RNA". It matches the Rfam family "Bacterial small subunit ribosomal RNA", at positions 338 to 795 of the family's 1533-position model. The record is from RNAcentral.
CCUACGGGAGGCUGCAGUGAGGAAUAUUGGUCAAUGGGCGCGAGCCUGAACCAGCCAAGUAGCGUGAAGGAUGACUGCCCUACGGGUUGUAAACUUCUUUUAUAAAGGAAUAAAGUGAGGCACGUGUGCCUUUUUGUAUGUACUUUAUGAAUAAGGAUCGGCUAACUCCGUGCCAGCAGCCGCGGUACUACGGAGGAUCCGAGCGUUGUCCGGAUUGAUUGGGUUUAAAGGGAGCGUAGAUGGGUUGUUAAGUCAGUUGUGAAAGUCUGCGGCUCAACCGUAAAAGUGCAAUUGAUACUGGCAGUCUUGAGUACAGGUGAGGUAGGCGGAAUUCGUGGUGUAGCGGUGAAAUGCUUAGAUAUAACGAAGAACUCCGAUUGCGAAGGCAGCUUACUAAACUGCCACUGACGUUGAUGCUCGAAAGUGUGGGUAUCAAACAGGAUUAGAUACCCGGGUAGUC